This 1039-nucleotide long non-coding RNA is filed under the name Sus scrofa (pig). RNAcentral's name for it is "lncRNA (ENSSSCG00005043648.1)". Lineage: Eukaryota; Metazoa; Chordata; Mammalia; Artiodactyla; Suidae. The record is from RNAcentral.
AACAUGCAUUAAUUCUGUUUGCAAAAAUUUGCAUUUUUUUUCUGCUCAUUCAUGCAGUGGGCUGAGGGGCAGCAUUUGUGCCAGAACUGUAGAAAGGAAUACAACCAUUUGUUUGAACUCAAGGAGUUUAGACUUUUAGAUGGGAGCGACCUAUAAAUGAACAGAAAAGCGUUCUAGGUACUUAAUCAGUGACUUUUUCCACUGAAAAGGAGGACAAGGGGCCUUGUUUGUUUUACUGGCUGCUGUUGUCUAAUUCCUAGUGGCACUCAGUAUUUCUUAAGUGAAUGACUAAAUGCUAAGAUCGUUAUACAGAGGGAGCUAAGGGAGCCCCCAUAAUAGGGGCCUCUGCCUAGUUUUAUGUGUGGCUGGAGCGUGGGAUGUCCCUUCAGAGAUAUCACCAAAAAAUUCCUGGAAGAUGGCCUAUGCAGUGAGUCCCGGGAAAUAAAGGAAAUGAGGUAAAAGUGGCCUUGGGGGUUGCUUGGGAGUUCCCACGUGACGUUGAGGAACUUCUGGGAACAGGUUUGGGAUGCCAAGAAUACACCCGUGCGCAGAGGGAAGGGCCUUGGAGACAUUUCCACUUUAGUUUCUAUAACAGUAUGCUGACCUGUUAACAACGUGUCCUCUAUUCCUGCUCCACUGGUCACUCCGGGAUGCAUCUGUUUGUCACCCCGCUGCUCAGCAUGAUGGCGGGGAUGGAGCAGCUCCUCCGGGUUAAGGCGGGGAUGAAUGAACGAACGAACGAAUGCAGAACUGCCGUGGGAGCACCGUGCCAAGACGGCGGCUUCUGGACGGCAGGGAAGUUCGGGCACCCAUACAAGCUGUGCAGAGACUUAGAGGCUUAACUCGUGGUCUGAUGCGCAAUAGGGGAAGGCUCCAGGCUGGGGAACUACGCGGUGCCGGGCGUAGCAGGGACAGGAGCACACCGUCGGGUUGCACUUGAGCCGGCUCAGAAACGAGCGACAGCAAAGCGCAGAGGAGGGGCUGCGGCCCGGGACUCCGCGUUCGGCGCGGGAGAGGCGGCCCGGUGACCUCCAGCGCU